Molecule: long non-coding RNA, 7605 nt
Organism: Heterocephalus glaber (naked mole-rat)
Lineage: Eukaryota; Metazoa; Chordata; Mammalia; Rodentia; Bathyergidae
Source: Ensembl
CUCAGCUCUAAACUGGGUGUUUUGCAAACAGCAUGAGUUACUAUGUAUCCAGGUAGGUGGGGUCAGCACACAGCGUCUCCUUGUUUUCCUGUCUUGUAAUAAUUAACCCCUUCUCUUGGGGGACUCCAAGUAAUUGCCUUUCCUGUAAACAGUUGGUAAUUGCAACUGUGUGGUGGUGGCCUGAGAAAGUGGGAAUGCAGAGAAAACAGCAUUUCUGGUUUUGAGGACCUGCACGUGCAGAAGCAGGAGUGUGGCAUGUGCAGGUACACACAGGAACUGCAGAAUCAGGACAGUGCUUCCACUGCCUAGAACUUGGCCCUGGGCAAAACAGAUCCGAAAAUGUCCACUUUAAUCUGGACUUGACCUCCAAGGUUAUGGACCCAACAGAGAGUCUAAAUCAGAAGAAUCUGAUUGGGCAGUGCCCCCGCCCCCAGUACUAGGGAUCGAACUCAGGACCUUGUACUUGCCAAGCAGGCGCAGCACCACUGAGCUGAAUUCCCAGCCCUGCACAUGCACUGUUGUUAAAGGACCCUCUCACACUGCUUCUUGGCCUUUCUGCUAAGAUCAAGUGUAAAAUAUCCUCUUUCUCACUGAGAACCUUACAGUGGCUUUACAUUGCCUUAGGAUAAAUAAACAUCAAUAGCAAAAAUUAUUGAGCAACCUUUUCACCUACUUUCAUCUCAUCCCACCCUUACGAUGCUGUCCUCCCUGCUCAUCAUCCGUGAAGUGGGAGCAGCAGUUCUUUCACAGGGUUAGGGCAAGCAUCCACUUAGUUGUAUCAGGCAACGUACUGAGGAAACAGCCUGCCCUUGGUAAAUUCUUACGGAGUUUAGCUGCGGGUUGGAGAAGAUGCUGUUCUGCAAAUAGGAAAAGAGCAACAGGAGCGUUUAAGACACUCACUCAGGCAGCUGGGCAUGGUGACACAUUGUAAUCUCAGCAAUCUGGGAGGCUCACAAGUUGGAGCCCAACCUGGGCAAUUUAGUGACUUAGCAAGACCCUGUCUCAAAAUAAAAAAUAAAAAAGGCUGUGGGAAUGUAUGUCAGUAUAUGCAGGCCUGGGUUCAAUCCCCAGUACCACAAGAGGAAGAACAAAAAGGAGGAGGAGGAAGAGAAAAAGGAGAAGAAAAAGGAGCAGGGGAAGAAGAGGGGGAGGAGGAAGAGGAAGAGACAGAAGAAGAGGAAGAGAAAAAAAGAAAGCAAAAACAAAAAGCAACCUGCCGUUUUUUUCUACAGCGGGAUUGGACCCAGUCCCAAUUCAGCCCUGGAGCCUCUUCCAUACCUGCCCUUGCCUCCACUCAGCAUGCACUGGGGCCCUCCUGCCUCUGCCCUUCCUAACAGUAACAUUCUAAAAUCCCUAUGGAAACACAAAAGACCCGGGGUAGCCAAAGCAAUCCUAAGCAAAAAGAGCAAGGUUGGGUACAGCGCAAUAUCUGAUUUAAAAUUUUACUACAGAUUAUACUAUAAAUUAUAGUAACAAAGUCAGCACGAUACUGGCACAAAAAUGGACUCACACACCAAUGAAAGAAUGGAGGAUGCAACCACAGCCAUCAAUUCCUGAUCAAAGGACCAAGAAUAUACUCCAGAGAAAAGAUGGCCUCUCUCACAAACAGUACCGGGAAAGCUGGGUAUCCACAUGUAGAAGACUGAAAUAGAUCCCUACCUCUUCCCAUGUAUAAAAAUCAAUUCAAACUGGGUCAAAGAUCUAGGUAUAGGUCCUGAAACUUUGAAACUUCUAGAAGAAAACAUAGGAGAAGCACUUGAAGCCAUAGAUACAAGCAAAGACUUCUCGAAUAGGACUCUAAUAGCACAAGGAAUAUGCAGCAAAAAUGAACAAAUGGGACUACAACAAAUUAAAAAUUUCUCCUUCCAAGGUGCCAAUAAGUACCAACAAGUAACAGAAUAAAAAGACAGCCUACAGAAUUGGAGAAAAUCUUUUCUGGCUAUUCCUCAGCAGAGGAUUCAUAUGUAGCAUAUAUAAAGAACUCAAAAAAUGUCACACCAAGCAAACAAAUAGCCCAACUAAUAAAUGAGCAAAUGAAUUAAACAGGCACUUCUCAAAAGAAGCACAGAUGGCCAGUUGUUAUAUGUAAAAGUGUUCAACAUUUUUAGACAUUAGAGAAAUGCAAAUCAAAACUAUAUUGAGAUUCUAUCUCAUCCCAGUCAGAAUGGCUAUCAUCAAGAAUACAAAAAGCAAACAAAGAAAAAACUCAACAAUGAAUACUGGUGAGGAAGUGGGGGAAAAGGAACACUUCUACACUGCUGGUGGAAAUGUAUAUCACUCUGGAAAUCAGUAUGAAGUUUCCUCACAAUAGUAAAAAUAAAACUACCAUAUGACCGAGCUAUACUUUGGUAUAUACCUGAAAGAAUUAAAGUCAACAUACUAUAGGGAGCCAGGGAUUUAGCUCAGUGGUUCCGCUGCCUGCCUUGAAAGCGCAAGGUCCCAAGUUCGAUCCCUGGUACCAAAAAAAUUUUUUUUAAAGUGAGCCUACUAUAGAGGUACCUGCACAUCCAUGUUUAUCAUGGCACAAUUCACAAUAGCCAAGAUAGGGAACCAGCCUAAGUGCCCAUCAACAUGUGAAUGGAUAAAGAAAAUGAGAUAUAUAUACACACAAUGAAAUAUCAUUCCACUAUAAAUCAGAACGAAAUUAUGUCACUUGCAAGAAAAUGGAUGGAACUUGAGAUGAUGUUGAAUGAAAUAAGACCAACUCAGAAAAACAAGUAUUUCAUGUUUUCCUUAAUAUCUGGAAUCUAAUAAAGAAGAUGGCAUGAAAGUAGAAGGAUGACUAUUAUUAGACAAGAGGAAGAGAAUAAGGGAGGGGAGGGAAAUGGGGAUUGAUAUGAUCAAAAUAUGUUAUAAGCACGUAUGAAAAUACCACAUUGAAACCCAAUGUUUUGUAAAAUUAGUAGGCACUAAGAAAAAUAUAUUUUAAAAAACAAAAACAUCCAAAUCCAUCCCCCCUAAAACAGAGAGACUGAACUGGGCCAGGCACAGUCAGUGUUCAUCCCUUUCUGUCUCCCUCUGCUCUGCCCCUGAUUCCUGACCUCCUGGAAUCACCUCUCAAUUGUCCUACGUGAACUCAUGACCUUGUCUCAAGGGCAGCUUCUGGGGCCCUCAAACCCAGGCCUUGGAGAUGGCUGUUUUCAUGGAGCCAGGGGAUGGCUGAGGGAUGUGGGGGCAGACCACUGGGUCCCAGAAGCAGCUGUGAAUCUGGGAAAAGCUGUCUCCAGGGAACCUUGCUGCAGCCCUCUUUUGCCCCACCCACUCCCUAGAGCUGAUUUCAUGCCCCAGGCUCCCUGAGUCCCUUCUGCAGAGCUGCCUACUGUGCACUUUGAAUCUUCAGGGGCCAUUGCACUGGGAUUCCAUCCUCUGCAAAUGUGCAGUGAGUACCCAUGUCCACCUGGGCCUCUCCCCAGGGAUAAUGUUUCUGCUUUCAGUGUGGGACUUCAAUAACUUGGGGAAGGAAGGAAAGAAAGCUUCACUGGACACCACUACAUAGUAGCUCUGCUGUCUCAUUUGAUCUUCAUAAUCCCCUGGGGAGCGAUUAUUGUCACAUUUCAGAUGGGGACACGGGGACUCAAGGAAGUGAACCUGCUAAGGUGGCCCCACUCAGGUGGUGGAGCUGGCUUUCAGUUGCUGGUCUGUCGCCAACAGACAAAGGACAGAUAUCUGAAGAUGGCGCAUGUACUCAGCUACCCUCUCUGACCCCUGUCUAGGCCCAGGCACAUAUUCAGUAGAUGAUACUUCAAAGGCCAUGGUUCCCUGCACUCUCAACUCUUGGGUAACAUUCUUGGUCUGCAUCCCCAGUGAAAUGUAGCACCCAGGCCUAGUACCUUUUCAAAAGAAGUCUGAGCCCUGUGCCUGUCACCUCUGUUAACCUGAACAUUACCCCUCCAUCUCUGACCCCAGGAUCACAUUUGCUUUUGAGACAGCCACAGCCUUGUGUGGGCUCAUGUGGAGCUCUGGGGUUAUCUAAAACCAACAGGUCUUUUUCACGUGGACUGCUGCCAAGUCAGGAUGCUUCCCAGGCCACUCUUCAUCUUUAUCCCCGAUGCAGGCUUGGGUAGGACAGUGGUUUUCAUAGUUAGGGUUAAGAUUACAACAAGAAGAAAUGCAAUAGGCAUGAAUUUCUCUGGAUGGCAUUGAUUGGCAAUUCAUGGGUUCAUAUCUGUGUGUCUUGUAUUCCUAAGCCAACUGCUGGUUCCCUCGGGGGAGGGGACACAGGCCUACAGGACCUGGCACAAAGUUUUGAAAGUAGUAGGUGCUCUGUGAGUAUUCCCAUUGCUUGGCUGAGGAACAAAGGCUCCACUCUCAAUUCCCCUUCCUGCCAUUGCCCCAGCAGCUAGCUAACUGUGAUACACAGAUCUCCUUCAUCUGGAUAGGAAGUAGCAGAGUGGCUACUUCCGGUUGCAGUGGCAGAAGUGUGGUGAGGAAGAAGAAAGACCAUGCAAAGAUAGGGUCUGAAUCCCAGGGCCAACACAUGACCACGAGCUGCUCUUUACCUGUAAAAAGCAGACUAUAAACAUCGGUAAUAUGGAUCAAACUCAUACCACAAAUGUGACCUGACCUUUAUGUUCAUGCAAUCCAGUGAAUUAGGGAUAAUGAAUAUCUUCAGUGUUGGAGGAUAAGACCCUGAAAUUGAGUAGUGAACUUAUUUACUCAAGAUCACAAAAGUAGAGAGUGGAAGAACUGGCAAUUGAGCCCCGGCAGUCUGCUCUGCUCUCAGCUACCAGCCAUGAUAAAUCUGUCACUUGAUAAAUUGUUGUACAAGGAAAUGGAAACCCACAGGUCAAAUGACCAUAGCACUGGCACAUAGUAAAUGCUCAGUAAAUGCUAGUUCAGUCCUCUGCUGUGUCUCAGUAGCUUCCCUUUGCCGUUGGGCAUUGUUGGGGCCAAGAGGUGGAAGCAGCAGAUUUAUAGAACCUCCUGACAGUGUGCGUUGCUAGAAGGGAAGACAGCCUGCCUGUGGGCUUCUGAUAAUGACUCCUGUUUCUCUGUGGAGGGUGAAGAACUCAUUCAUUCACAGGUCACCCCCACACCUUGCUCCCUCAUGCCUCACAUCAAUCUGUCACAGUUGUGCUGCUCUCCCCCUGUGUGCCCUGGCACCCAUCCACCUGCUGCUCCCCAACCCUCAUGACUGUCAGCCCUCCAGGCCAUGGGCAGCUCCUCCCUGGACCUCAGCAUUGGCUUUCAACCUGGGUGUGAGACCUCUGCUGACCUUGUCUACCUACAUAGCACUCUGCGAGUCCUUCUCACAUUCCGUGCUCAGGAUCCCCAGGAUGGCUCCAUCAUGGCAGGAAAAGGCCCUGAGAGAUCUGCAGAGGCCUCUUGGCCACAGCUGUCCAUCCCCUCUCAGAGCCCUCUGAACCUCCUGCAGGACUUUGCAGGUGCACUCUGCCUAGGACCCUCUGCCAGCUUCUCUCUCUGGCUGUCUCCUCCUCUCAUUCCUGACCAGCUCAUCUCCUCCUCUGUGUAGCUGUCCUGGUCUCCCUCUUUCCUCCAUCUUCAUUCCAGUCUACUUGUCCAUGUCAGCAGGGCUCCCAUCUUGCCCCAUCUCUGAGACCCAGCCCUGAGCCACAUGCCACAGCCUCUCUCAGUCCCCCAAGGGCCAUGCCUUGGCUGGACCCUGAGGAUGCAGAGGUACACGAGCCAGGUUCCUGAGCCUGAGUGGGAGGCAGGCCGGGACAGCAUGGGGGAUGUGCUGGCCAAACCUGGGUGCUUGGAAAGGAAACGGGGAAGACAGUAACCCUGCCUUAGGAGGGCUUUGUGGAGGAAGAAGUGUUGAUGUGAAGUUUUGAGGCCUCAGUAGGAGAUAGGAAGCCUAAAGGGGAUGGUGACAACAGGUGCUCGGUUAGUCCCCAGUGAGUAAGGCAUGCUGGGACAGCAGGGGGCUGAGCUAAGGUUUGAGUGGCCCUUGCAGACAGCUGCCCUGUGCGUGACCUGGACAGAGGACCUGGAAAGGCACUUGUGAGGGGAAGUCCCUUCAUGGACACACACAGGAAGACCAGGCUUGGGAACAAUGGGGUGAAGAGGUUGGUCAGGGACCUGUUAGGCUCAAGGAGCCUAUGGGCCCCCAACUGGGAACUGCUUGUGGGAAGGACACCCAAGUGCAGAUAAAGGCCAAGAGGACAGAGCGAGUGGGGCACAGGCAGGUGGGAUAAUGGAGGCACCUGGCUGGAGCACCAGGAAAGAGGAAGAGGGAAGGACCAGUGAGCUGGAGGAGGCUCUUGAGGUGACCAGACCAUCAUGACCCAGGCCCUGUGCCAAGGCUUUUAUGAACAUCACCCUUUAUCCUCCCAAUGAUCUGGCAACAGCCCCAUUCUUCCGAUGAGAACAUUUAGGCUCAGUGCUCGAGACCACAUAGCACUGGCUGAGGUACUCAGCAUGGGUGUGAGAGGGCUGAGCGAUGAUGUGAAUGAAUGGAUGAACAAGAGAAGCAAGUCCAAGCACAUCCUGCUGUCAGCCCAAGCUCUGGCCUGUCCCUGCUCCAUUGCUGGAAUUCUCUCUACCUCGAUGACAACACUGCCAUUCUCAGUGGUGAGAAGGAAGGACAGCAUCACCUCCCCUGAGUCUGAUGUGCCCUGGUCCCCCAGGCCUGUCCCCUGCACACAUCCACAAAAGCAUUUCCUCCCACGGGUCCCCCUUCCUGCUCCCCAGAAUGCCAGCUGUCUUCCAGGGCCACAGGGCUCUCAGGUCCUGCAUCCCUCUGAGGCAGGAACCUCAGACCACAUCCUUCCUCCCUUCUAGAAUCUUCCCUGAUGGCUCCUGGGGCAGCACCCUACCAGAUGCCCUUUUGAAGGCUCUGUUUCCUUUUCCUGCCUCAAGUUUUAUCAUUUUCUCCUAGAAAAUACUUGUCUUCCCAUUACCUUAAUCACCCCUCUUGAGCCCGGCGGGCAGGCCUUGCAGCAGCAUGAGUCCUGUUUUCUGUUUGCUGUGCUGGGAGAACAAACAGGAUUGUUUGAUUUACCUGUAUUCUCCCAGUAGGUGGACCCCUUACAGCAAGCACAGAGUAGACCUGCUUCCUGCCCUUUGACCUGGAGUGGACUGUGAAAUACUGAAAAUCCACCAGGCUUUGCUGAACCCAGGCAGGCUGGACCAGGCUGCCCUCUGGUUUUCUCUUGUGACACCAGGUGCCUGAACUUGAAUUGAGUUGCUCUGGAAUCCAGGAAGUAUCCAAUCUUCCUCAACUAGCACCCAGCCCUGGAAUCCCUAAAUAGACACAUCUGAGAGUGAGCCUUCACCAGGAGAGGGUUCCAGGGAUGAGGGGCAGGCUUAGGCAGGAAGCUAUGAUGGGGACGAGAUUUGAGUUUGCUGGGGUGAAAGGGCCCUGGUUUUGGAGCCAAACAGAGCUGGUUCAAGUUCAGUUACAGAUGAGCUACUUACGUUUGCAGUGCUAAUGGUUGAGCUGUUAUUUCCUUUUCAACAAACACGCAGUGAGCACUUGCUAUGAGCCAUCACUCUCAUCAUAAGAGUUGAGAUACACCAACGAGCAGAAGAUCUAAUAAUCUCCGACCUUUGGCAUUUGUAAUCCAGUGGAAGAAGACAGACAAAUGUAAUGCAUAAGAAUAACACGUAGCAAGUUAGAAAGGGUUUGAGGGUGCUUGGGAA